This 424-nucleotide ribosomal RNA is filed under the name Verrucomicrobiota bacterium. RNAcentral describes it as "Verrucomicrobia bacterium partial 16S ribosomal RNA". It matches the Rfam family "Bacterial small subunit ribosomal RNA", at positions 355 to 776 of the family's 1533-position model. The record is from RNAcentral. Lineage: Bacteria; Pseudomonadati; Verrucomicrobiota.
UGAGGAAUAUUGGUCAAUGGACGCAAGUCUGAACCAGCCAAGUAGCGUGCAGGAUGACGGCCCUAUGGGUUGUAAACUGCUUUUAUAUGGGGAUAAAGUGGGGAACGUGUUCCCUUUUGCAGGUACCAUAUGAAUAAGGACCGGCUAAUUCCGUGCCAGCAGCCGCGGUAAUACGGAAGGUUCGGGCGUUAUCCGGAUUUAUUGGGUUUAAAGGGAGCGUAGGCCGUUUGGUAAGCGUGUUGUGAAAUGUAGGAGCUCAACUUCUAGAUUGCAGCGCGAACUGUCAGACUUGAGUGCGCACAACGUAGGCGGAAUUCAUGGUGUAGCAGUGAAAUGCUUAGAUAUCAUGAAGAACUCCGAUUGCGAAGGCAGCUUACGGGAGCGCAACUGACGCUGAAGCUCGAAGGUGCGGGUAUCGAACAGG